Molecule: ribosomal RNA, 599 nt
Filed under: Vibrio sp. GD2.2
Lineage: Bacteria; Pseudomonadati; Pseudomonadota; Gammaproteobacteria; Vibrionales; Vibrionaceae
Description: bacterial SSU rRNA
Rfam family: Bacterial small subunit ribosomal RNA
Source: RNAcentral
UGUGGCCUUGAGCCGUGGCUUUCGGAGCUAACGCGUUAAGUAGACCGCCUGGGGAGUACGGUCGCAAGAUUAAAACUCAAAUGAAUUGACGGGGGCCCGCACAAGCGGUGGAGCAUGUGGUUUAAUUCGAUGCAACGCGAAGAACCUUACCUACUCUUGACAUCCAGAGAACUUUCCAGAGAUGGAUUGGUGCCUUCGGGAACUCUGAGACAGGUGCUGCAUGGCUGUCGUCAGCUCGUGUUGUGAAAUGUUGGGUUAAGUCCCGCAACGAGCGCAACCCUUAUCCUUGUUUGCCAGCGAGUAAUGUCGGGAACUCCAGGGAGACUGCCGGUGAUAAACCGGAGGAAGGUGGGGACGACGUCAAGUCAUCAUGGCCCUUACGAGUAGGGCUACACACGUGCUACAAUGGCGCAUACAGAGGGCGGCCAACUUGCGAAAGUGAGCGAAUCCCAAAAAGUGCGUCGUAGUCCGGAUUGGAGUCUGCAACUCGACUCCAUGAAGUCGGAAUCGCUAGUAAUCGUGGAUCAGAAUGCCACGGUGAAUACGUUCCCGGGCCUUGUACACACCGCCCGUCACACCAUGGGAGUGGGCUGCAAAAG